Molecule: small RNA, 16 nt
Filed under: Arabidopsis thaliana (thale cress)
Lineage: Eukaryota; Viridiplantae; Streptophyta; Magnoliopsida; Brassicales; Brassicaceae
Description: ATSL241800
Source: RNAcentral
AGAGGAUAAUAAAAAA